CCGACCUUAGCUCAGUUGGUAGAGCGGAGGACUGUAGUGGAAUUUGAACUGAAAUCCUUAGGUCGCUGGUUCAAAUCCGGCAAGUCGGA
RNAcentral lists this transfer RNA (89 nucleotides) under Ipomoea nil (Japanese morning glory). It matches the Rfam family "tRNA". From Rfam's summary of the family: Transfer RNA (tRNA) molecules are approximately 80 nucleotides in length. Their secondary structure includes four short double-helical elements and three loops (D, anti-codon, and T loops). Lineage: Eukaryota; Viridiplantae; Streptophyta; Magnoliopsida; Solanales; Convolvulaceae. The record is from Rfam by way of RNAcentral.